This 253-nucleotide ribosomal RNA is filed under the name uncultured prokaryote. Its description in RNAcentral is "partial 16S ribosomal RNA". It matches the Rfam family "Bacterial small subunit ribosomal RNA", at positions 525 to 777 of the family's 1533-position model. The record is from RNAcentral.
ACAGAGGGGGCAAGCGUUGUUCGGAAUUACUGGGCGUAAAGGGCGCGUAGGCGGCCGCCUAAGUCAGACGUGAAAUCCCUCGGCUCAACCGGGGAACUGCGUCUGAUACUGGGUGGCUUGAAUCCGGGAGAGGGAUGCGGAAUUCCAGGUGUAGCGGUGAAAUGCGUAGAUAUCUGGAGGAACACCGGUGGCGAAGGCGGCGCCCUGGCCGAACAUUGACGCUGAGACGCGAAAGCGCGGGGAGCGAACGGGA